AUAUAAUCGCGCUGUGUAGGUGCUUUUGUCGCGCUUUAAAACAACCUAAGUGACAAGAGUUAAACGGGAAAUCAGUGAAAAUCUGAUGCUGCCCCCGCAACGGUAAACUCAACGCAUUGUCGUUUUCUUUUCAUUCGCCACUGUCUUUUAUACGUUAACGCGCUACAGCGCAUUUAGACGCCACUAGAUGGGAAGGCAAAAGAGCCAUUACUUUAUCGGUAUUGGUGAGUAAGCCCGGAUACCGGCCUGUACUUCAUGGUGUCGU
Molecule: non-coding RNA, 265 nt
Filed under: Alteromonas macleodii
Lineage: Bacteria; Pseudomonadati; Pseudomonadota; Gammaproteobacteria; Alteromonadales; Alteromonadaceae
Source: RNAcentral